Molecule: ribosomal RNA, 497 nt
Filed under: uncultured bacterium
Lineage: Bacteria
Description: partial 16S ribosomal RNA
Rfam family: Bacterial small subunit ribosomal RNA
Source: RNAcentral
GAUGAACGCUGGCGGCGUGCCUAAUACAUGCAAGUCGAGCGAACAGAUAAGGAGCUUGCUCCUUUGACGUUAGCGGCGGACGGGUGAGUAACACGUGGGUAACCUACCUAUAAGACUGGGAUAACUUCGGGAAACCGGAGCUAAUACCGGAUAACAUUUGGAACCGCAUGGUUCUAAAGUGAAAGAUGGUUUUGCUAUCACUUAUAGAUGGACCCGCGCCGUAUUAGCUAGUUGGUAAGGUAACGGCUUACCAAGGCAACGAUACGUAGCCGACCUGAGAGGGUGAUCGGCCACACUGGAACUGAGACACGGUCCAGACUCCUACGGGAGGCAGCAGUAGGGAAUCUUCCGCAAAGGGCGAAAGCCUGACGGAGCAACGCCGCGUGAGUGAUGAAGGGUUUCGGCUCGUAAAGCUCUGUUAUUAGGGAAGAACAGACGUGGAAGUAACUGUGCACGUCUUGACGGUACCUAAUCAGAAAGCCACGGCUAACUACGUG